ACACACACACACACACACACACACACACACACACACACACACACACACACACACACACACGUUUUUUUUUAGCACACUUCCACUUUCUCUGUGAUCAACAAUGCACGAUGUUUGCGUUUUACACCACUUCUUUUCUUUGCUGAAUCCAAAUGAGGCUAUACCGAAGCAAAUAAAUGAUUAAAUGAAAAAAAGAAAUGCCUGUCAGAUGUAAGCAUGACCAAACACAAGUACAGCAACAUCAGAACGUGAACUGUGCCUCUAGAAAAUAAUAAUAUGCCUAUGCGGUAAAUUUGAAAAAGGCACUCUGACAGUAAUGGCAGAAAAUAGAUGUUUCUGGAAUAUAGAUUGCCAGAUUUGUGAUUGUCAACUGUAUGCAUUUCCAUGUAUAGUUCACAUAACACACUUACUCUUGGUGGAUAAACCACUUGUUACUGACACUAGUUAUGGGAGCUUGCAUGUGAGAGAAAGACCAGUGAUGGAACUAAUACAUUGUAUAAAAGUGCACAAGCCAAUGGGAGAUGUCUCACUACUAUGGCAGAUGGGAUGAUAUUGCACAGCCACACCACUGUGUCACACCAGAUAUGAGGGCCCAACAUACACUCAACACAGUUCAGAUGUAAUGUUGCUGCACCACUGUGUCUUGCCAAAUGUGAGAACAAAAUGAACACAUACAUAGUUUUAGAAGCUGUGGUGUUGCACUACCACAUUAUGCCAGAUGUGAAAACAAAAUACACACACACACACACACACACACAAGUUUUUUUUUAGCACACUUCCACUUUCUCUGUGAUCAACAAUGCACGAUGUUUGCGUUUUACACCACUUCUUUUCUUUGCUGAAUCCAAAUGAGGCUAUACCGAAGCAAAUAAAUGAUUAAAUGAAAAAAAGAAAUGCCUGUCAGAUGUAAGCAUGACCAAACACAAGUACAGCAACAUCAGAACGUGAACUGUGCCUCUAGAAAAUAAUAAUAUGCCUAUGCGGUAAAUUUGAAAAAGGCACUCUGACAGUAAUGGCAGAAAAUAGAUGUUUCUGGAAUAUAGAUUGCCAGAUUUGUGAUUGUCAACUGUAUGCAUUUCCAUGUAUAGUUCACAUAACACACUUACUCUUGGUGGAUAAACCACUUGUUACUGACACUAGUUAUGGGAGCUUGCAUGUGAGAGAAAGACCAGUGAUGGAACUAAUACAUUGUAUAAAAGUGCACAAGCCAAUGGGAGAUGUCUCACUACUAUGGCAGAUGGGAUGAUAUUGCACAGCCACACCACUGUGUCACACCAGAUAUGAGGGCCCAACAUACACUCAACACAGUUCAGAUGUAAUGUUGCUGCACCACUGUGUCUUGCCAAAUGUGAGAACAAAAUGAACACAUACAUAGUUUUAGAAGCUGUGGUGUUGCACUACCACAUUAUGCCAGAUGUGAAAACAAAAUACACACACACACACACAAGUUUUUUUUUAGCACACUUCCACUUUCUCUGUGAUCAACAAUGCACGAUGUUUGCGUUUUACACCACUUCUUUUCUUUGCUGAAUCCAAAUGAGGCUAUACCAAGCAAAUAAAUGAUUAAAUGAAAAAGAAAUGCCUGUCAGAUGUAAGCAUGACCAAACACAAGUACAGCAACAUCAGAACGUGAACUGUGCCUCUAGAAAAUAAUAAUAUGCCUAUGCGGUAAAUUUGAAAAAGGCACUCUGACAGUAAUGGCAGAAAAUAGAUGUUUCUGGAGAAUAUAGAUUGCCAGAUUUGUGAUUGUCAACUGUAUGCAUUUCCAUGUAUAGUUCACAUAACACACUUACUCUUGAUGGAUAAACCACUUGUUACUGACACUAGUUAUGGGAGCUUGCAUGUGAGAGAAAGACCAGUGAUGGAACUAAUACAUUGUAUAAAAGUGCACAAGCCAAUGGGAGAUGUCUCACUACUAUGGCAGAUGGGAUGAUAUUGCACAGCCACACCACUGUGUCACACCAGAUAUGAGGGCCCAACAUACACUCAACACAGUUCAGAUGUAAUGUUGCUGCACCACUGUGUCUUGCCAAAUGUGAGAACAAAAUGAACACAUACAUAGUUUUAGAAGCUGUGGUGUUGCACUACCACAUUAUGCCAGAUGUGAAAACAAAAUACACACACACACACACACACACACAAGUUUUUUUUUAGCACACUUCCACUUUCUCUGUGAUCAACAAUGCACGAUGUUUGCGUUUUACACCACUUCUUUUCUUUGCUGAAUCCAAAUGAGGCUAUACCAAGCAAAUAAAUGAUUAAAUGAAAAAAAGAAAUGCCUGUCAGAUGUAAGCAUGACCAAACACAAGUACAGCAACAUCAGAACGUGAACUGUGCCUCUAGAAAAUAAUAAUAUGCCUAUGCGGUAAAUUUGAAAAGGCACUCUGACAGUAAUGGCAGAAAAUAGAUGUUUCUGGAAUAUAGAUUGCCAGAUUUGUGAUUGUCAACUGUAUGCAUUUCCAUGUAUAGUUCACAUAACACACUUACUCUUGGUGGAUAAACCACUUGUUACUGACACUAGUUAUGGGAGCUUGCAUGUGAGAGAAAGACCAGUGAUGGAACUAAUACAUUGUAUAAAAGUGCACAAGCCAAUGGGAGAUGUCUCACUACUAUGGCAGAUGGGAUGAUAUUGCACAGCCACACCACUGUGUCACACCAGAUAUGAGGGCCCAACAUACACUCAACACAGUUCAGAUGUAAUGUUGCUGCACCACUGUGUCUUGCCAAAUGUGAGAACAAAAUGAACACAUACAUAGUUUUAGAAGCUGUGGUGUUGCACUACCACAUUAUGCCAGAUGUGAAAACAAAAUACACACACACACA
Molecule: long non-coding RNA, 2820 nt
Filed under: Portunus trituberculatus (swimming crab)
Lineage: Eukaryota; Metazoa; Arthropoda; Malacostraca; Decapoda; Portunidae
Description: uncharacterized LOC123518280
Source: RNAcentral